RNAcentral lists this long non-coding RNA (516 nucleotides) under Homo sapiens (human). RNAcentral's name for it is "HSALNT0312744". The record is from RNAcentral. Lineage: Eukaryota; Metazoa; Chordata; Mammalia; Primates; Hominidae.
CCUCUGUCCAUUUCUCCAUGUGAGGAUACAAUGCCCAUCCUCACAUGGACAUUGCCUCAGAGGCAUGAGAACAGAGGUGGACCUAGCUUAGAUGGAUGAAAAACAGAGAAUAUCUGCACCUGGUCACACCUGGGCACCGCAGUGGGUGUAUUCCUAUGGUUCUCACUCCAUCUUUAAAAGGGCCUCAGCUGGAUACAGCCCAACUGAGGAGAAAUUCAAAAGGAGUCAACACCACGGCCACUGACAAUCACAAAUAUCCCAAAGGAAGAAAUGUAGCAGUAUUUCCGGGGCAUCCUAUCCUAAGACCAAGACUGAAAGAAUUAGAGAUAAAAAAUAGAAGAAUUUACAAGUUUGACACUAAACAACCACAGAUGGAAGAUUUGAAGUAAGAUCACACAUUUUAUACUGAAGUCUAAUGUAGCGAUCAACAAAUGCAGACUGACACUUAGGACAAAAUCCAUCCAACUUCCCCUGUGGCUUUGGGGAGAAUGUAACAUAUUCAUUAAAGAAUGUCCU